Molecule: long non-coding RNA, 2067 nt
Filed under: Helianthus annuus (common sunflower)
Lineage: Eukaryota; Viridiplantae; Streptophyta; Magnoliopsida; Asterales; Asteraceae
Source: RNAcentral
AUGAUGUACAAGGUUUCUAGAUCUCAUCCUCUGCUCUCACUCUGUCUCUCUCAAUGGCGAUUCGAGAUCUAGGGUUUCUCCCAGAUCGAAUGAUGUACAAUGUUCUAAUGCAAAAAUGGAUUUCCUGGCUUUUAAACACCCUUAAAUCUUUUGGGCGGCCUUUUGAAUUUCAAAAGCCCUAAACAUUUUCAGAUCUGAACAAAAACCAACCACGAAUACACUUUCAGAUCUCACAUCUCCUCCUUGGUUUCUGCGACACUCUAUCUUUGUCCCUUCUCUGGUUCUAGAGAUGACGAUCGUCGUGUCAAGGAAGAGGUAUGCGACGAAGCUGCGGUGGUGGAACCUCUGAAGAUGGACAGUGAUGGCGGCGGUUAGGGUUCGAGCCGUGAAACCAACUUUUUGAGAUUUGCUCUUUGCUUUGGAGAUUCUGUUCAAGGAGAUAAAUACUUAAAAAAUAGAUAAGAAGAUUGGAGCUGCAACUGCACAUGAAGUUCGAGCCACGAUUGGGGUGAUGGUGAUGGUUCAUGGUGACGAUACAGGGUUGAUUUCAGACUUCUCAAGUUGUCUACAGGUUCAUAUCCCGUCUGGUGCGAGAUCCCUUUGUUUGGUUUAAAAAUUGUAGAUCAUUCUUUGUCGGAGCUUUAGAAUUUAUAUCCGGUGCCGACAUAAAAACCGCCAUCGAGGUCGCAGGGAGCCAAUGGCUCGGCUCAGACUAUUCGGUUCCGUGGAAGUGGCGAACUGAACGGUUGAGAAAAUCAAGUCAAGUCUGGUCAACCUGGUCGUGUACACUUACUCAGUUGUCGUCCGAAUCAACAAAGCGGUCAGUCUCUGUCAGACAAAUAUAUUAGUAAUUAAAUGCUGAAACUUUUGCUUGCUACUAAUCGAAUGCAGAACACAAAUACGAGAUUGUGAGGAAACUACAAGAGCGAAAGCAUAUAUGCAGAAUGACAGGAGAUGGUCAAAAUGACCCAGAAAUUUGGUGUGAAAUCGAUCAGAGACGAAGAAUUUGAGCUUAUAUCAGCUCUUUAUCUCCAAGUCAGCAUCAUCAGCCAGGCACUCAUUUUCGUUACAAGAUCACGAAACUGGUUGUUUGUUGAACGCCCUGGGCUUUUACUCCUCACCGCCUUUUUUAUAGUUCAGCUGCUGGAUGUGACAUCAGCUCAACUUCUUGUGACUGAUAGUGACUUCGGGAGUCCAGAAUUUUGGAAACAACUUACUGAUGAUAGCUUUAACACAAAACAGUGACACAUUGAUUAGCGAAAAAAAUAGAAACACAUAUUGAUACCCGAUACAACAGAUCCGCUUGGUCAUUGGCACUGAUGCCAGCUCAGUUUCACAACAGAUUGAAGUACUCCAAGUUUAUGCAGUCUUUGCCACCAAAUUAGGUGGUGGAUUUGGUCAGAAGGUCAUUACCCCUUGCUCAUCAUCAGAUGAUGACCCAAAUUAGGUGGUGGAUUUGGUCAGAAGGGCAUUACCACUUGCUCACCAGAUGAUGACCCAACGAGGGAGGGCAUUACCACUUGCUCAGAUUCUGUUGUUAAAAGAACUAACUUAAGAAAAUUGACUUUUCGGUUGAUAUAUUUUGGGGUUACUUAUAGUAUAUGCAAUAAGUAAAUUGGGUUAUAAAAUGUCAAUUUUUAUGUUUACACAGUGUAUUUAGAGCUUACUUAAACAUAUUUUGUAACUUUACUUAAACUUAUUUUGCAACUUUUCGUACUUUUAGACAUCGCCUAGGUCUUGAGUUGAAAGGGACACCACUUGCUUAUAUGUAUAUACUUGCUCUAUUUUGUUGGCUAGAUUUUCAUGGCUUAGCAAAAAAGGGACCCCACUAUUUUGUUUUGGUUCUUCAAUACACGACUGUCGCAAGUAAACACUUAGCAUAAGAAAAUUUAAUUUUAGAAUUUUGUUGUAUAUACCUUUGAAUGUUAAAUAUAGUUCAGAAAUUAUAGGCGGAUUGGUUUGAUUAGUUUUGAGCUUAUGGUUGUGUUUUUGUUGGCUUGGCGCAGUUCGGUUUGUUUACAUUUUUUAAAACUCUUUAAAUCUCAUGACCGGUUUUGAAGUACCUUA